This 428-nucleotide unclassified non-coding RNA is filed under the name soil metagenome. Its description in RNAcentral is "partial contains 5.8S ribosomal RNA, internal transcribed spacer 2, and large subunit ribosomal RNA". The stretch from base 1 to 120 matches the Rfam family "5.8S ribosomal RNA", at positions 35 to 154 of the family's 154-position model. The record is from RNAcentral.
GAUGAAGAACGUAGCGAAACGCGAUACGUAAUGUGAAUUGCAGAAUUCAGUGAAUCAUCGAAUCUUUGAACGCACCUUGCGCCCCUCGGCAUUCCGAGGGGCAUGCCUGUUUGAGUGUCACGGAUCCUUCGAACCCCGCCGGUCUCCGACGAGCCGGCCGCCUGGGUUCGGUCCUGGGCGCUACGCCACCCCUCCGGGGCUGGCACGCCUCAAAAGCAUCAGCUGGGCCUCGCGGCGUGGGCGGGCUCCGAUCGGCGUGAUAAGUCAUCUGCCGAGAGGGUGCCCGUCCGUCCCGCGGAUCGCGGUCCGCUCCCAACCCCUCCCCGCGCGCCGUCCCCCCCCGGGGAGCGCGCGGGGACGUUUCGACGCUCUGGCCUCAAAUCAGGUAGGACCACCCGCUGAACUUAAGCAUAUCAAUAAGCGGAGGA